This 460-nucleotide ribosomal RNA is filed under the name uncultured bacterium. RNAcentral's name for it is "partial 16S ribosomal RNA". It matches the Rfam family "Bacterial small subunit ribosomal RNA", at positions 338 to 795 of the family's 1533-position model. The record is from RNAcentral.
CCUACGGGUGGCAGCAGUGAGGAAUAUUGGUCAAUGGACGAGAGUCUGAACCAGCCAAGUAGCGUGAAGGAUGAAUGCCCUAUGGGUUGUAAACUUCUUUUAUCUGGGAAUAAAAUGUUCCACGUGUGGGAUUUUGUAUGUACCAUAUGAAUAAGGAUCGGCUAACUCCGUGCCAGCAGCCGCGGUAAUACGGAGGAUCCGAGCGUUAUCCGGAUUUAUUGGGUUUAAAGGGAGCGUAGGUGGGUUGUUAAGUCAGUUGUGAAAGUUUGCGGCUCAACCGUAAAAUUGCAGUUGAAACUGGCAGUCUUGAGUACAGUAGAGGUGGGCGGAAUGCGUGGUGUAGCGGUGAAAUGCUUAGAUAUCACGAAGAACUCCGAUUGCGAAGGCAGUUCACUGGACUGCAACUGACACUGAGGCUCGAAAGUGUGGGUAUCAAACAGGAUUAGAUACCCGGGUAGUC